CCUGGCUCAGGAUGAACGCUAGCGGUAGGCUUAACACAUGCAAGUCGAGGGGCAGCAUCAGUGCUUGCACUGGAUGGCGACCGGCGCACGGGUGAGUAACGCGUAUGCAACCUGCCUGUACCUGGAGGAUAGCCCUUGGAAACGAGGAUUAACACUGCGUAACAUAUAUUUACCGCAUGGUAUAUAUAUCAAAACCACGGUGGGUACAGAUGGGCAUGCGUGCCAUUAGCUAGAUGGUAAGGUAACGGCUUACCAUGGCUUCGAUGGCUAGGGGUUCUGCAAGGAAGGCCCCCCACACUGGUACUGAGACACGGACCAGACUCCUACGGGAGGCAGCAGUGAGGAAUAUUGGUCAAUGGGGGAAACCCUGAACCAGCCAAGCCGCGUGAAGGAAGACUGUCCUAUGGAUUGUAAACUUCUUUUUUGGCAGAAUAAAUUACCGUACUCGUACGGUAUUGCACGUAUGCCAAGAAUAAGCAUCGGCUAACUCCGUGCCAGCAGCCGCGGUAAUACGGAGGAUGCAGGCGUUAUCCGGAUUUAUUAGGUUUAAAGGGUGUUCAGGCUGCCUGGUAAGUCAGUGGUGAAAGUCGGCAGCUCAACUGCCGAAUUGCCUUUGAAACUGUCAGGCUCGAGUAUGGAUGCGGCAGGCGGAAUGUGUAGUGUAGCGGUGAAAUGCAUAGAUAUUACACAGAACCCCGAUUGCGAAGGCAGCUUGCCAAACCAUUACUGACGCUGAAGCACGAAAGCGUGGGUAGCGAACAGGAUUAGAUACCCUGGUAGUCCACGCCGUAAACUUUGCUCACUCGCUGUAGGCGAUACACAGUCAGC
This 828-nucleotide ribosomal RNA is filed under the name uncultured organism. Its description in RNAcentral is "bacterial SSU rRNA". It matches the Rfam family "Bacterial small subunit ribosomal RNA", at positions 18 to 841 of the family's 1533-position model. The record is from RNAcentral.